This 497-nucleotide ribosomal RNA is filed under the name uncultured bacterium. RNAcentral describes it as "partial 16S ribosomal RNA". It matches the Rfam family "Bacterial small subunit ribosomal RNA", at positions 28 to 507 of the family's 1533-position model. The record is from RNAcentral.
GAUGAACGCUGGCGGCGUGCCUAAUACAUGCAAGUCGAGCGAACAGACGAGGAGCUUGCUCCUCUGACGUUAGCGGCGGACGGGUGAGUAACACGUGGAUAACCUACCUAUAAGACUGGGAUAACUUCGGGAAACCGGAGCUAAUACCGGAUAAUAUAUUGAACCGCAUGGUUCAAUAGUGAAAGACGGUUUUGCUGUCACUUAUAGAUGGAUCCGCGCCGCAUUAGCUAGUUGGUAAGGUAACGGCUUACCAAGGCCACGAUGGGUAGCCGACCUGGGAGGGUGAUCGGCCACACUGGAACUGAGACACGGUCCCGGCUCCUACGGGAAGGAGCAGUAGGGAAUCUGACGCAAUGGGCGAAAGCCUGACGGAGCAACGCCGCGGGAGUGAUGAAGGUCUUCGGAUCGUAAAACUCUGUUAUUAGGGAAGAACAAAUGUGUAAGUAACUAUGCACGUCUUGACGGUACCUAAUCAGAAAGCCACGGCUAACUACGUG